This 56-nucleotide transfer RNA is filed under the name Caenorhabditis briggsae. RNAcentral's name for it is "tRNA-Gly". The record is from RNAcentral. Lineage: Eukaryota; Metazoa; Nematoda; Chromadorea; Rhabditida; Rhabditidae.
GAUUCUUUAGUAUAAAUUAGUAUGUUUGACUUCCAAUCAAGAGGUUCCAAGGAUUA